GCAUGAGAAUUGCUUGAACCCAGGAGGCAAAGGUUGAAGUGAGCCGAGAUUGCAUCACUACACUCCAGCCUGGGCAACAGAGCCAGACCUUGUCCCCCCUAAAAAAAAAACCACUGGAUAUCACAGUGUAGAAUCCCAGGUCACCAUAAGCCAUUCAUUUAGCCAAAAUGAUAACUCACAAAUUUUAAAAAAGAAAAAACCUUUAUUCUGGUAGAGAGCAGACAGCUCUCUUAUCUCUGAUAGAGAUCUUUCCAAACAGCAAGAUCCAGUGAAAAUAGCAUGAUGCCAACUGAAUUUGUCUCUUCUUUCCACAUCCCCCCUUUUUUUGUAGUUUACUUUAAAAGCCAAACAAAAACCUCUUAUUAUUUUUAAAUAUUACAUAAAAAUUAUUUUCAAAAGAGAAAACCAAAUUUCAUGUUUGCAUUAGUGCAUCUUUAAUGCCAAAGCUACUAGUUUAAAUAGCAUUUUACAAAUCUAUUUAGUUUUAAUUAUUUGACCAUAAGGUAAGAUUCUUAAAACGUUUUUAUAACCCUUUAUAAUAUUUUUUGUUAAAAAGCAGAACAAUCUUUUAGGACACUAUUAUGCUUUUAUUCCAAUGUUCAAUUUAUGGAAAACCAGAAUAAUACCUCUUUAACUUUAGCCAAUGUGUUUUCGCACAUUAAUUGUUUAUAAACCUUCCACAACUCAUUUAAACCUUUAGAUUUUUCCUUCUUCACUUAACACAGUCAUUUAGCCCUGUAAACUUAGGCAAGAAAUUCAUAUCCUCAUGCCUUCUUAGAAUCUUUUACCAAAAGUACGUUCUACUUUCCUUACACACUUUGUGUGUAGAACUGUUUCUUCAGUAGUCUCAAAUGCAUGUUAUGCUGUUAACUCUUAGCAACUUUUACUUUCAGUUAAAAGCCUGGUUAGUAAGCGAUUUUAAUUAUGUACCAGGUUUGCAAACUAGAACAGAUACCAGUCAGAAAUGCAGAUAAGGUCUGACUCUUUCCAGCAUAGCUAGGGGACUUGGCUACCUUCACAUGUCACCAGGCUUUACCUAGCUGUAAAGCAGAUAGGUUGUAUAGUUGAGUCACAGUGGCAGUUUAUGAAGCAUUUAGGAGACUUAAUAACCUUUAAAUUAUACAUCUCUCGCAUAAAUUCCCUUUCUUGACUUAGACCAUCUAUGACAUACUUGGACUUUCUGACUUGUCCUAAACAUCCCUCUCUUUAAACAUUUUACUUUAGGACAAGAAUUUAUCAUACAUGAUUAAUUUAUAUAAAGUCUUUUCUUUAUGGGGGCUAAUUUCACAUGUCUCCAGGCCUUAUCUAGAAUGUAAUGGCUUAAAGGUAAGUAUAUUGAACAAUUUUCAAAAGUUAAGCAGUUCAUGACCUUAGAGCAUUUAACAAACCUAAUGAGACUGUAUAUACAAGCUGUGUGUAAAUACACACAUAUAUAUAUAUAUAUAUGUAUAUAUAUAGAUAGAUAGAUAGAUAGCUUGUAUAUGUAGCUCACCUAAUUUAGAUGGAAUGUCUAAAUUUUGAAGAUAUUUUUAUUUACCAGUAAUCUUUAAAACUGUGUUCAUUACCAAAGGAUUACUAAAGUGAUAUGAACUAAAGGGCAUUAGUUUUAGUAUUUCUGACAAAAUAUCUGAUUUAAGUGCUUAUUUUUGUUUCAGCUAGUUAAUUAGAGCUUUUUUAUAUAAACAUCACACAUACAACACUUACGUAGACGAUCCAGUAGUUGUAACAUUUUUUCCUUUGCCAGUUUCUUAAGUUCAGUUGGAUUACCGGCUUCAGGGUGGAGCCCUGCAAGAAUCAGGGCUGGGAAAGCAUGUAGUUCCUAGGGCCUAAAAAGCAGGCACAGCUGAAAAGCCAAAAAAAAAAAGAAAAAAAAGAAAAAAAAAAUUCUCAAAGUUAAGGGUCCCAUUUUAAUAUUGCAUCCUGGAUUUUCAAAAGGAAAAUGUUGGAGAAUAGUGCAGUGCUUUUAGCAUGCAUUUAAUUACAUGGCAACACAAAGCCACCCCAUUUUGUUCUGUUGUUCUUGUUUUUUUGAUAUGGAAUCUUGCUAUGUCACCCAGGCUGGAGUGCCGUGGCGUGAUUUCAGCUUAUUGCAACCUCCACUUGGUAAUCAGUCCAUUUGUAAUUAGCCCUUCCCCAUGGGAGUCUCAUCUGUCACUAGAGGUUAGGGAUUUUUCCUUCCUACUUUCCAGGUGACCAAGAGCAUGCUUCUCUGAUUCAAACAUGCAGUGAGCAAAGCAUCCCUCCAUAACUGUUAUUAGCCAUCUCUUAAAGUAUAUUUUGUACCUACUUAUUACACAUCAAGGCUAAAAUCUCUCCCAUAAUGCAGAGUAAUUUCUGAUACACCCAAAAGUUAAAAAAAAAAAAAAAGUCAGGUAACAUAAAGCCGAACAGAGCCUUAGAUUUUAAGAGUAAUCUAUUGGCUUUCAAGUGGGGUUCCAUGAGGAAGACAGGUUUUUUCCAUGUUACCAGAUAUCGAAAUUAUCAGUUUUCUCAUGUGGGCAUCAGGAGGGCAAAGUGGAGAAAUAGUUGACUGAGAAGAAAACUUUUUCUCAAAAACAACCAAUAUCCGAGAAAAGAGAGAGAAAAAACAAGAGGCCUUUUAAAAUAUAUAUAGCUUGUAUAUCCAUUUUUAAUUAAGUUGAUUUUAACCAUAGAGCUUUAAAAAAAAUUUUUUUUUGUUAAUCUCUUAUUGUCAGACUCUAGCCAGGACAGUCAAUAUUUCUGGCUUUUGAACUUUGCCUUAGGUAACCUCCCAUGUGAAAUUAAUAAGUUUUAGCUAGGAUUAUAGCUUAACCAUGGACGUAUAAUUUGUUUCCAAGAGAUGGUAAGCAGUUUCUUUUUACAAGAUACAGAAUCUUCCCAAGGGUAGUUCAGAGAAAGAAAAAUUCAAGACAGGAAAUCAGAAGCUAGCCAUUGGGGUGGGGGUGGGACCAUCAAAAGUAGCAAAGUCAUACAAAUAAACCAGAGGGAACCAUUUCUGAAGCCAAGAAUUGGACCCAGGCCGCCACUGUCAAAAGGC
Sapajus apella (tufted capuchin) is the source of this 3019-nucleotide long non-coding RNA. RefSeq lists it as uncharacterized. The transcript is spliced from 2 exons. Lineage: Eukaryota; Metazoa; Chordata; Mammalia; Primates; Cebidae. The record is from RefSeq and is a predicted model, not a curated record.